This 18-nucleotide ribosomal RNA is filed under the name Hydnellum concrescens. Its description in RNAcentral is "partial 28S ribosomal RNA". Lineage: Eukaryota; Fungi; Basidiomycota; Agaricomycetes; Thelephorales; Thelephoraceae. The record is from RNAcentral.
UUGACCUCAAAUCAGGCA